This 591-nucleotide long non-coding RNA is filed under the name Panax ginseng (ginseng). RNAcentral describes it as "long non-coding RNA (PGIN_LNC011112)". The record is from RNAcentral. Lineage: Eukaryota; Viridiplantae; Streptophyta; Magnoliopsida; Apiales; Araliaceae.
AAUAUAUAAAAUCAUUACUAAUAAUCAUUGCUUAAUAAAUAUAGAUAUUAACUUAUUUCUAAAUAGAAAACCCCCAUAUGUAUUAUAUAGACUUAUUAAUAAUAAUAAAUCGUAAUAUAAUAAUAAUGCAAGAAUAUAGAUUUUGGGGGAUGGUGAAGUUUUAAUAUAAAGAUAUAUUCUUGGUUGAAAUUAACAGCUAGGCCCGUGGUGCUCGGGUGGUCAUAUGACGAGUGUUUGGAGUUUGAGGUUGCGAGUUCGAAUCUGUUUAGCAGCGAAUUGCUUGAAUAAAAUAAUUUUUUUCAAUUUUUUAAUACCAGCCGUGACAAGCUGUACCGGCCGGUUUUUUUUUUCAAUUUUUUAAUACUAGCCGUGACAAGUUAUACAGGCCGGUUAUUUUUUUCAAUUUUUUAAUACCAGCCGUAUCAGCCUGUACCGGUCUGAUUAUUUUAUUUUUUUAAUGCCAGCCGUAUCAGCCUGUACCGGCCGAGAGAAAUAAAUAAAAAAUAAAAAAACAAUGUGUGAGCCGGUAGAACCUGUACCGGCCGAAUUAUUUUAUUAUUUUAAUGCCAGCCGUAUCAGCCUGUACCGGCC